This 70-nucleotide transfer RNA is filed under the name Loxodonta africana (African savanna elephant). It matches the Rfam family "tRNA". Rfam says of the family: Transfer RNA (tRNA) molecules are approximately 80 nucleotides in length. Their secondary structure includes four short double-helical elements and three loops (D, anti-codon, and T loops). Further hydrogen bonds mediate the characteristic L-shaped molecular structure. tRNAs have two regions of fundamental functional importance: the anti-codon, which is responsible for specific mRNA codon recognition, and the 3' end, to which the tRNAs corresponding amino acid is attached (by aminoacyl-tRNA synthetases). tRNAs cope with the degeneracy of the genetic code in two manners: having more than one tRNA (with a specific anti-codon) for a particular amino acid; and 'wobble' base-pairing, i.e. permitting non-standard base-pairing at the 3rd anti-codon position. Lineage: Eukaryota; Metazoa; Chordata; Mammalia; Proboscidea; Elephantidae. The record is from Rfam by way of RNAcentral.
GCAGUGGUGGUUCAGUGGUAGGAUUUUUGCCUUCCAUGCAGGAGACUUGGGUUCAGUCUUGGCCAGUGCA